GAUGAACGCUGGCGGCGUGCCUAAUACAUGCAAGUCGAGCGAACAGACGAGGAGCUUGCUCCUCUGACGUUAGCGGCGGACGGGUGAGUAACACGUGGAUAACCUACCUAUAAGACUGGGAUAACUUCGGGAAACCGGAGCUAAUACCGGAUAAUAUAUUGCACCGCAUGGUUCAAUAGUGAAAGACGGUUUUGCUGUCACUUAUAGAUGGAUCCGCGCCGCAUUAGCUAGUUGGUAAGGUAACGGCUUACCAAGGCGACGAUGCGUAGCCGACCUGAGAGGGUGAUCGGCCACACUGGAACUGAGACACGGUCCAGACUCCUACGGGAGGCAGCAGUAGGGAAUCUUCCGCAAUGGGCGAAAGCCUGACGGAGCAACGCCGCGUGAGUGAUGAAGGUCUUCGGAUCGUAAAACUCUGUUAUUAGGGAAGAACAAAUGUGUAAGUAACUAUGCACGUCUUGACGGUACCUAAGCAGAAAGCCACGGCUAACUACGU
RNAcentral lists this ribosomal RNA (496 nucleotides) under uncultured bacterium. Its description in RNAcentral is "partial 16S ribosomal RNA". It matches the Rfam family "Bacterial small subunit ribosomal RNA", at positions 28 to 506 of the family's 1533-position model. The record is from RNAcentral.